This 72-nucleotide transfer RNA is filed under the name Bos taurus (domestic cattle). It matches the Rfam family "tRNA". From Rfam's summary of the family: Transfer RNA (tRNA) molecules are approximately 80 nucleotides in length. Their secondary structure includes four short double-helical elements and three loops (D, anti-codon, and T loops). Lineage: Eukaryota; Metazoa; Chordata; Mammalia; Artiodactyla; Bovidae. The record is from Rfam by way of RNAcentral. RNAcentral also lists the same sequence under 4 other names.
UCCCUGGCAGUCCAGUAGUUAAGACUCAGUGCUUUCACUGCUAUGGCUCAGGUUCAAUUCCUGGUCAGGAAA